RNAcentral lists this ribosomal RNA (688 nucleotides) under uncultured Gomphaceae. RNAcentral's name for it is "eukaryotic LSU rRNA". The stretch from base 244 to 398 matches the Rfam family "5.8S ribosomal RNA". The record is from RNAcentral. Lineage: Eukaryota; Fungi; Basidiomycota; Agaricomycetes; Gomphales; Gomphaceae.
AAGGUUUCCGUAGGUGAACCUGCGGAAGGAUCAUUACAGUGAAAAACGGUAAGCGGGAGGGGGGGCUGCUGCUGGCCUUUGUCGGGCAUGUGCGCGCCUUUCUCUCGCGACGCAUCCACUUUCCUACAACCCUGUGCACCUGUCGGCGAGUGCCUCGGGAUCUCGAGGCCCUCGCUGCCCCUUUUACAAUCGCUCUUAAUACGAACGCAUGUCUUAAACCCCACGGGGUGAAGUUUAAAGUACAACUUUCAACAACGGAUCUCUUGGCUUUUGCAUCGAUGAAGAACGCCGCGAAAGUGCGAAACGUAAUGUGAAUUGCAGAAUUCAGUGAAUCAUCGAAUCUUUGAACGCAUCUUGCGCUCCUUGGUAUUCCGAGGAGCAUGCCUGUUUGAGUGUCGUGUGAAACCUCGAAGCCCUUUCCCUUCGGUGUCAGGGUUGUCGGAUUUGGAUGUUUGCGGUGUUGAGAGAGGCCCCCUUAGAGGCCUCGACCGCUCGUCUUGAAAUGCAUUAGCUUGGUCCCCCCCUCGGACGACGACGGCGUGAUAAUAGACGCUUUGUUGAACUCGUCGGAGGUCUAAUCGAGAGGGGGACCGCUGACAGCCGUCCUUUGCGGGACAGUGUUUGAACGUGUGACCUCAAAUCAGGUAGGACUACCCGCUGAACUUAAGCAUAUCAUUAAGCGGAGGAA